This 379-nucleotide ribosomal RNA is filed under the name uncultured Microcystis sp. RNAcentral's name for it is "bacterial SSU rRNA". It matches the Rfam family "Bacterial small subunit ribosomal RNA", at positions 196 to 593 of the family's 1533-position model. The record is from RNAcentral. Lineage: Bacteria; Bacillati; Cyanobacteriota; Cyanophyceae; Chroococcales; Microcystaceae.
AAAGGUGAAACCUAAUUGGCCUGGAGAAGAGCUUGCGUCUGAUUAGCUAGUUGGUGGGGUAAAGGCCUACCAAGGCGACGAUCAGUAGCUGGUCUGAGAGGAUGAGCAGCCACACUGGGACUGAGACACGGCCCAGACUCCUACGGGAGGCAGCAGUGGGGAAUUUUCCGCAAUGGGCGAAAGCCUGACGGAGCAACGCCGCGUGAGGGAGGAAGGUCUUUGGAUUGUAAACCUCUUUUCUCAAGGAAGAAGUUCUGACGGUACUCGAGGAAUCAGCCUCGGCUAACUCCGUGCCAGCAGCCGCGGUAAUACGGGGGAGGCAAGCGUUAUCCGGAAUUAUUGGGCGUAAAGCGUCCGCAGGUGGUCAGCCAAGUCUGCC